AGGCUGUUGCUCUUGAGUCGCCUGCAUGCCAGGAGCACAAGUACACGAGCCAGAACUCUCCCUUCCGCACUCCGGUGAUGAGAGAAAGACCAUGACAAGUAUCAUUUCUGGUAUUUGGCCUGUCUGACGGACAAUGGAUUUACAAAAUUACCACUGUCCCAUGGAAGAUACAGGCUGUGGUAGCGGUGACCAUAAGGGCAGGGUUUUGAGCAAGGAAAAAGUGUGCUAGAAGGCCUCUCUGAACAGCUUCUCUCGCACAGAAAUAAGACAUCCAGUGCCAACACUUCUGCUUUUGUAAGCCAGCCUCAUAGAAGGAUGGAUCCAUUAUAGUAUGUUAUUGCCCACUGUGACAGCUCCCAACUUCUCUUAAGCAGAGAUUAUCUGAACAGAUGGACCACUGAAACUAUCAAAGGUGGAAUUCCUCAUGUUUCUAUGUUCUUACAAGAAAAUUGAAGACAAGGUUCAAAAAACUUCCAAUCUAUGAGUCACAGUGAAAAAACUUUUAGAACUACCAACCCAAGUUUCAGUGAGAAGACUAAGAAGAGAUGCUAACUCUGGAUCUUUAACAAUGCAAUUGUUUAUAAAUAGCUUUUUCCUAUGGGCAACAUUUAUCUUUCAUGCAGCUGGUCAUAUUACAAAGGUGGUAGUAAAUGACUAUGCUGCAACAAAGUUCUUUAGAGUAACUGUGGUGAGCUAGUAGCAAAGCCAGUACAGUUUGAAGGAGCAGAG
This is a long non-coding RNA of Dromaius novaehollandiae (emu), 729 nucleotides long. RefSeq lists it as uncharacterized. The record is from RefSeq and is a predicted model, not a curated record. The transcript has 3 exons. Lineage: Eukaryota; Metazoa; Chordata; Aves; Casuariiformes; Dromaiidae.